Long non-coding RNA from Impatiens glandulifera, 410 nucleotides. RefSeq lists it as uncharacterized. The transcript is spliced from 3 exons. NCBI's taxonomy places the organism in Eukaryota, Viridiplantae, Streptophyta, Magnoliopsida, Ericales, Balsaminaceae. The record is from RefSeq and is a predicted model, not a curated record.
UUAAAUUUCUUUUUAGGAAAUAGGAGAAACAGAUUCAUUUCUAGGUUAAAUGCAAGUUGGUGUAGAAUUGUACACCGCGGAUGAUUGCAUCGUCUAGACAUGUAUGUGAGAAGUAAGAGCAUGUAUGUGAAGUAGUGGCUAUUUAAAGCUAUAAGAUCGACGUUCUUUGGUGCUUCCGCAGCCACUGUUAUUCAAUUAGGUUGUACUGCAUCAUUGAAAGGAAUUUGGCAAUUGGAACUGUAAAUUGAGAAGGUUCGAAUUUUAUUUCGUCACCGCUAUAUAUAAUAUAUGGUGCUUCAAGAAUUGAAGGCGUUUAUGGAUGGGGCUCAUCAACUACGUUAAUAUUAAUAACAUUUUAAAAUUUUUAUUUGAUAUUUAAAAUUUAUAAAAUACGUUUUUAGAUUUAAUAA